This 1089-nucleotide long non-coding RNA is filed under the name Medicago truncatula (barrel medic). RNAcentral's name for it is "lncRNA gene9423". The record is from RNAcentral. Lineage: Eukaryota; Viridiplantae; Streptophyta; Magnoliopsida; Fabales; Fabaceae.
AGGAGAUAGAGACAAUAACGAUAAAGGUUCUCUCACUGAGAAUAUAUGUGUAUUGAUCUAGAAAGAUAUAUCACAUCAACCAUAUCGGAUUAUAAAUUCAGGGCAGAAGCGUUUGCAAUCGAAAAAGGGAUUGGACCUGAGAAUUGAUUUCCUGCAAAAUCAAAUAUUUUAAGAUUGGGGAGGGUGUGGAAGAUGUUGGGUGGAAAAGAGCCGAGAAAGUUAUUUUGUUCCACCGCAAGGGAAAUAAGUGAUGAGAUGUUAUAAAGACAAGAUGGAAUCUUACCGGAAAAAUUGUUCUCACCCAAAGCUAAAAAUGUCAAGUGUUUGCGGCAACAUAUUUCUUGUGGAAUAUCUCCCUCAAAAUUGUUAAGAGCAGCUGAUAGACGUGUUAAGCAUGAAAGAUUUCCUAUGAAUGAAGGGAUUCCUCCAGUUAAAUUGUUAUGCGCAACAGUCAUGGCUUGAAGUUUUUUCAAAGAGCCGAUUUCAGUUGGUAUUUUACCAAUGAGAUGGUUCCCACUCAAAAACAAUAAUUUGAGAUUAGAACAAUAUGUCAGGUUUGUAGGAAUCUCACCUACAAAAGAAUUAUUGCUGAGAAAAAGUUGCUGCAAAUGUAGCAACUGACCCAACUCCUGUGGAAUUUCUCCAAAGAAGUUGUUGUCUCCAAUGUCGAGAGUUUUCAGAAAAGUGAGAUUGCAAACAUGGGGAGAUAAAGAUCCAUGUAACUGAUAUCUUUUUAGGCUCAACUCUGUAACUCGUUCAUGCAUGGGGCUGCAUGUGAUUCCAUGCCACUUGCAGAAAUGGAUGGAAGAAUUCCAAGAUUCAAGAGCUUUGUAUGGGUCACUAGAAAUUGAUUCUUUGAAUUUGAGCAAUGCCAAAUGAUCAGUUUGGUUUCCUAUUGCAGCCACUGCCCUAAUUUUGUUUGGACCAAACCACAUUAAAUUGAAGGUAAGCAAAAAAAGGAGAUGAAGGUAUAAAAGUGGAGGUGACAACAAAGAAAAAGACUUCAUUUUGGUUUAGCAGAAAGUGGUUUAUGUAUUUAGUUUUGUUUGUGUUCUAUAGUUAUUAUGUGGGAAUAGAGAAGGAACAUGC